Molecule: ribosomal RNA, 491 nt
Filed under: uncultured bacterium
Lineage: Bacteria
Description: partial 16S ribosomal RNA
Rfam family: Bacterial small subunit ribosomal RNA
Source: RNAcentral
AGUGAACGCUGGCGGUAGGCCUAACACAUGCAAGUCGAACGGCAGCACAGUAAGAGCUUGCUCUUACGGGUGGCGAGUGGCGGACGGGUGAGGAAUACAUCGGAAUCUACUUUUUCGUGGGGGAUAACGUAGGGAAACUUACGCUAAUACCGCAUACGACCUACGGGUGAAAGCAGGGGAUCUUCGGACCUUGCGCGAUUGAAUGAGCCGAUGUCGGAUUAGCUAGUUGGCGGGGUAAAGGCCCACCAAGGCGACGAUCCGUAGCUGGUCUGAGAGGAUGAACAGCCACAAUGGAAAUGGGAAAAGGGCCAAAAUCCCAAGGGAGGCAGGAGGGGGGAAUAAUGGACAAAGGGGGGAAGCCUGAUCCAGCCAAAACGGGGGGUGGAGAAGGCCUUCGGGGUGGAAAGCCCUUUUGGUGGGAAAGAAAAGCAGCAGGUUAAAAACCCGCUGGUCUGGAGGUACCCAAAGAAUAAGCACCGGCUAACUUCGCG